UCAGGAACACUUAAUGAGAGGGAGGAAAGCAGGUGGGUAGCACAGAAACUAGAUGGCACAGGUAGGCGGCUUGCUGACUUUCUCUGGUUAUUCUCAAAGGCAAUCAUUUCACAGCUGUCAGAGUUACAGUGUUUGGGAGCUGCCCCAUGUUCCCACAUGCUAAGAACUCAAGGAGCAGCCCAGUGAGCACAGCUGCAACUCUCUGCCAUCAUUCAGAAGUAAACAUCCUUCAGAAGGAACUGUACUCGCUUUUUCUAGAUGCAAACAACUCACCAAAGAAUCUGAAGGUGGUAACAAGAUGCUACCUGAUAGAUUCUGCCUGCUACUGCCUGUGGUUCCCUUUUAGGGGCUUUUAGAAAUCCAGGCAACACCUCCAGUUAGGAGCCAUAAGGCACAUCGCUGGGAUCUGACUUGUAGAACAAUGUGUGUGAACCAGAAGGUGCGGGGAAAUGCUUUCUCAAGUCGGCCUAUCUGUUUCCCAUCUUUCAUUAAAUACACAUUAAUGGGCAGAGAUUGGGUGCCCUCUCUCCCACAUAGGGGCAAUGCUUGUAAUGCAGACCUACUUUUUGUCGGAAGAUCCUCAGUUAAACCCAUGUCAUCUCUCCCUGUCACAGACAUUUCUUCAGCUGAGCUCCCUGGGAACCAUGACCAUCUCAAUUUUGCAGCUUGCUGUGCUCAGUCACAAACAUCGCCGCAAUACCAUCCUUCCUUCAUUUGAGAGGCCCACACACAAAUAUCAAAGUGAGCUAAUGUGCGGGGGAGGAAUAUUUCUCCCUAAUUUUCCAAAGUGGUUUUCAGGGAUUCUCACACACGCAUAUCCUCGCAGUGGGAAUGAAGUGUACAACACCCUUUAACGUUAGAGUUUUAAGGCCUCCUUUAGCUGAACAUCAGCUAAUUAUUGUGGAAUCCGUGCAAAUGGCAUCUCAAAUACCUCUCUCAUACUCGUUAAUUUUCUGUACUCACUAAGACAUUCACUAUUCAUACAGAUGAUGAAUGCCCUGCCUAGGCUAUGCUAAUAACACUUCCCUUAGUAUCUGCGAAUGGGCCCAUAAAAAGGGGCAGGUUUCUAUUCAACCAAGUCGGGGACCAGAGGAUGCUUUCGGGUCCUUGUGCCCCCUCCACUUCCCCACAGCACACCUUUAAGCUAUUCCUCCCACACUAUUAAUCUCCCAGGCUUUGGUGUGACUAAUUGCAAAUGGCAGGAGAGAUUGGGCUUAAUAAGCAGGAGUGUUGGAACAUUUCCUUCCAAAGUGCCCUCCUUUGUUCAAAGUGUGUCACCCUGUCAGGAGAAGCACUUUUUCACAUGGCAUCAAGAAGAACAAAAAUAAGGUCGGGUCGUCACCUUUGUCGUGGACGAAAAUUAGCAUGCAAGAGGAAAUGCAGAGGCAGCCGCCGUGGGAGCUAGGUGAGGUGGGCGGUGGGUGAGCCAUCACACCCCUGCCAUUCCCUCCCAGCCCAGGGCAAGAAAGCAGGCUUCCAGAUGAAGCCCCAGUGGAAAAUCUGCCUCUCUUCCAGCAGAUUUCAAGCUCACUGUUUCCUUUCCCUUUGUCUCUGUGCCCUUUCCCCACCACUGGAGUAUCCAACGUUUUCCAUAUAGAAUAACUAACAAUAAUGUGGUUCCCGGUGGACUUCACAAGCUGACUGCAAUUUAUUCAUUUUCUGAGCUAAAUUUUGCCUUGGAC
This is a long non-coding RNA of Numida meleagris (helmeted guineafowl), 1682 nucleotides long. RefSeq lists it as uncharacterized. The transcript is spliced from 3 exons. NCBI's taxonomy places the organism in Eukaryota, Metazoa, Chordata, Aves, Galliformes, Numididae. The record is from RefSeq and is a predicted model, not a curated record.